GCCCGCGUGGCACAAUGGCUAGCGCGUGGUAGGGACUGCCCCAAACUCCUCGUUCCGGACACUACUAACAUUAUUCCAGAGACUUUUAUAGAGCCAUCUUCUCUGAAAUCUCAAGGUUCUGGGUUCGACCCCCAGCGUGGGCG
This is a non-coding RNA of Exophiala oligosperma, 143 nucleotides long. NCBI's taxonomy places the organism in Eukaryota, Fungi, Ascomycota, Eurotiomycetes, Chaetothyriales, Herpotrichiellaceae. The record is from the annotation of a RefSeq genome assembly.